GGUGUUUGGAAUGAAGUUUGAUCCAAGAUCCUUGUUUCUCCUUUAGUGUUUGUUUUGUCCAGAUGGGAUUAUUGCUUUUAAUCUUGAAUCUUAAUGUUUGGUUUUAUUAGUUGUUGCAUCAUGAGAGAGAUUGAAGAAGGGAGAUUUUCUUGUGAAUCAAGAUCUUCUCUCCCUCUUCUCUCUGUCUGUGUGUGCAUGUGGGAGAGUUUCUGAUGAACUUAAUUCAAGAUCCUUUUCUUUCUUCUCUUUCUCUCUGUGUAUAGAGAGAGAGAGAGAGAGAGAAGGAGCCUGAAAAAUUUGCAGUCAUGUCCCUGUCCUCCUUUUUUUCUUUCACUUGAUCUUGCAAGAAAUUAAUUAUCAUAGACUGAUCUCGGACCAGGCUUCAUUCCUCACACC
Molecule: small RNA, 396 nt
Filed under: Manihot esculenta (cassava)
Lineage: Eukaryota; Viridiplantae; Streptophyta; Magnoliopsida; Malpighiales; Euphorbiaceae
Description: precursor microRNA miR166n
Source: RNAcentral